This 253-nucleotide ribosomal RNA is filed under the name uncultured bacterium. RNAcentral describes it as "partial 16S ribosomal RNA". It matches the Rfam family "Bacterial small subunit ribosomal RNA", at positions 524 to 776 of the family's 1533-position model. The record is from RNAcentral.
UACCGAGGUCCCAAGCGUUGUUCGGAUUCACUGGGCGUAAAGGGUGCGUAGGCGGUCGGGUAAGUCUGAUGUGAAAUCUCACAGCUUAACUGUGAAACUGCAUUGGAUACUAUUCGGCUUGAGAGUUGGAGGGGGGACUGGAAUUCUUGGUGUAGCAGUGAAAUGCGUAGAUAUCAAGAGGAACACCAGUGGCGAAGGCGAGUCCCUGGACAACUUCUGACGCUGAGGCACGAAAGCUAGGGGAGCAAACAGG